RNAcentral lists this ribosomal RNA (491 nucleotides) under uncultured bacterium. RNAcentral's name for it is "partial 16S ribosomal RNA". It matches the Rfam family "Bacterial small subunit ribosomal RNA", at positions 28 to 506 of the family's 1533-position model. The record is from RNAcentral.
GGUGAACGCUGGCGGUAGGCCUAACACAUGCAAGUCGAACGGCAGCACAGUAAGAGCUUGCUCUUACGGGUGGCGAGUGGCGGACGGGUGAGGAAUACAUCGGAAUCUACUUUUUCGUGGGGGAUAACGUAGGGAAACUUACGCUAAUACCGCAUACGACCUACGGGUGAAAGCAGGGGAUCUUCGGACCUUGCGCGAUUGAAUGAGCCGAUGUCGGAUUAGCUAGUUGGCUGGGUAAAGGCCCACCAAGGCGACGAUCCGUAGCUGGUCUGAGAGGAUGAUCAGCAAAACUGGAACUGAGAAACGGUACAGACUCCUAGGGGAGGCAGCAGUGGGGAAUAUUGGAAAAUGGGCGAAAGACUGAACCAGCCAUACCGCGUGGGUGAAGAAGGCCUUCGGGUGGUAAAGCCCUUUUGUUGGGAAAGAAAAGAAGCAGGUUAAUACCCCGCUGUUCUGACGGUACCAAAAGAAUAAGCACCGGCUAACUUCGU